ACUGGGCUGGAAGGAAUUGGAGAGGACUCGGAGAAGAUGACACAGUGACAAUAGAAAUGACGGCUGACAGCCUGACACAGGAGAUGGAGACGGAGCUCAAAGGCAGUCUCGGGACUGUGUACAGAUGGUCCCAAAAUAGACAAGUCUGCAUCGUUAAGAAGCACGCGAACUCUUCCAGAUCCUCUGUCGAGAAGCCCCAAACCAUUGAUCCCUUUCCUCCUUCCCCUUUCGCUGGGGUCCCCAUGGCCCAAGGAAGGGAGCCGCAGCCCUUGUGUACAAUGUCUGCUCCAAGCAGUCUCUGCAUCCAUCUUGGGGCCACAGCUAUUAGAGAAGAAGCAGCUGGUGUCCUAACCACCUCACCAGAGUGAUUUUCAAAAGAUCUGCUGGGAAUUCUGGGCCAUGGCCCGUGUGCCAUCAAGAGGAGAGGCCUGAAUCCUUUGCAGCCGUUUUGUUGCAUGAGACAAGCCAACCAGAGGAAGAAGCAGACUAACCGAGGAGGCAUGGACGAGAGAAUGACCACGAUACCCAGACAGACCACGGGAAGCUCAGUGGAGAGCCCCUGCCUCUGGUCCUCAGGAUGUGUAAGACGAUAACGCUCUUUCUCUGUACUCCUUGCAGUUUGAUCUGCUUGACAAAACCCCUCAAAGUUUUAAUCUGAGAUCACAGGCAGGGCUGAUGGGCUGUGCCAGCACCCACUCCCCAACCAACGCCGCUGCCCUCCUGUACUGCCCGCCUGUGCUGCCCAUGUGGCUGGGACGUCAUCUCCAACAAGUGCAGGCUUGGCGACCCUCUUCUCAAUGCCCAGUCCUCUGUGAUAUCUCUGUCUUGUCUAUCCGAGGAUAAGCUUUAUAGAUUAAAA
RNAcentral lists this long non-coding RNA (859 nucleotides) under Ictidomys tridecemlineatus (thirteen-lined ground squirrel). RNAcentral's name for it is "lncRNA (ENSSTOG00000032670.1)". Lineage: Eukaryota; Metazoa; Chordata; Mammalia; Rodentia; Sciuridae. The record is from RNAcentral.